This 460-nucleotide ribosomal RNA is filed under the name uncultured bacterium. Its description in RNAcentral is "partial 16S ribosomal RNA". It matches the Rfam family "Bacterial small subunit ribosomal RNA", at positions 338 to 795 of the family's 1533-position model. The record is from RNAcentral.
CCUACGGGAGGCAGCAGUGAGGACUAUUGGUCACUGGGCGGAAGCCUGAACCAGCCAAGUCGCGUGAGGGAUUAAGGCCCUGCGGGUCGUAAACCUCUUUUGCCGGGGAGCAGAGGUCCGGACGUGUCCGGGCCGGGAGAGUACCCGGAGAAAAAGCAUCGGCUCACUCCGUGCCAGCAGCCGCGGUAAUACGGAGGAUGCGAGCGUUAUCCGGAUUUAUUGGGUUUAAAGGGUGCGUAGGCGGGCAUUUAAGCCGGCGGUCAAAUGUCGGGGCUCAACCCCGGCCUGCCGUCGGAACUGGGUGCCUUGAGUGGGCGAGAAGUAUGCGGAAUGCGUGGUGUAGCGGUGAAAUGCAUAGAUAUCACGCAGAACCCCGAUUGCGAAGGCAGCAUACCGGCGCCCUACUGACGCUGAGGCACGAAAGUGCGGGUAUCGAACAGGAUUAGAUACCCCAGUAGUC